RNAcentral lists this ribosomal RNA (253 nucleotides) under uncultured bacterium. RNAcentral describes it as "partial 16S ribosomal RNA". It matches the Rfam family "Bacterial small subunit ribosomal RNA", at positions 524 to 776 of the family's 1533-position model. The record is from RNAcentral.
UACGAAGGGGGCUAGCGUUGUUCGGAAUUACUGGGCGUAAAGGGCGCGUAGGCGGUGUGUCAAGUCAGGCGUGAAAGCCCCGGGCUCAACCUGGGAACCGCGCUUGAGACUGGCACGCUCGAGUUCGGGAGAGGAUGGUGGAAUUCCCAGUGUUGAGGUGAAAUUCGUAGAUAUUGGGAAGAACACCGAUGGCGAAGGCAGCCAUCUGGACCGACACUGACGCUGAGGCGCGAAAGCGUGGGGAGCAAACAGG